AACCCAGAGCAUGGGUGAAAAGAAAUAGUGAGGGGCCAAGCGCCCUCCACUCCCCCUGUCCAGGAGACCAGGUUGCCUCUCCAGGGAGCCAAUCCCAUUGCUUCCUAAGGGUGGAGAGAGAGGCGGUGGACUAAAGUCAGUGGAAGUCUGGACCAUGGAGAAGAGGUGGGACCACAGGACAAAGGCCUAGAUGCUGGGGCAAUCAUCUGUAAUCUCAUCCAUGGCCCACAGGUCUUCAGUGUGGGAAAACAAUCUGGAAACAAAUGCAUAAAAUUUGAACAGACAUUUGACAAAAAUUUAUAAGUACUUAAUAAAUAUGUGAUCAUUACUUAUCAAGAAAGUGUAAAAUAAGUCCCAGUGAGAAAACUAAAGCUCCAUUGAAUGGGUGGUGUGACGGUUGUUCUUGAUCAUCAGCGUAACUGGCUUGAAAGGUGCCUGGAGCUCUCUCUGCUUCCUGGAUGUUGCGCGCUCAGCAGCUUUCCUCCUCCACACCCUUCCAUCAGGAUGGUUCUGCCAUGGAGCCAGUGACCGUGAACUGAACCCUCUGAUACCCUGAAUCUGUAAGUUGUGUGUGUCAGGUGUUUGGUCACAGCACUGAGAAGCUGAUCAACACCAUGGGCAGAACCAGAUGCUGGGAGGAUUCUAACUGGAAUUCUCGUGAGUUGCUGGUGGAAUGUGAAAGGGGAAUAAUAUCUCUGGGAAACACUUUCGGCUAUUUCUUAAAAGGGUGGACGUUCCCAUAUGAGUCAGAAACUCUACUCUUAGGCAUUUAAUCAGUAAAAUUAAAAUAACAUC
Heterocephalus glaber (naked mole-rat) is the source of this 795-nucleotide long non-coding RNA. RefSeq lists it as uncharacterized. The record is from RefSeq and is a predicted model, not a curated record. NCBI's taxonomy places the organism in Eukaryota, Metazoa, Chordata, Mammalia, Rodentia, Bathyergidae.